UAGGGGUACAGAUUCGUCCUUUUUAGGGUUCCGUAGCCAAAUGGCAAAAAACGGAACCCUUAUAGAUUCGUCAUGUCUGUCCGCCUGUCCGUGUAUGUCACAGCCACUUUUUUCCGAAACUAUAAGAACUAUACUGUUGAAACUUGGUAAAUAGAUGUAUUAUGUGAACCGCAUUAAGAUUUUCACACAAAAAUAGAAAAAAAACAAUAAAUUUUGGGGGUUCACCAUACUUAGAACUGAAACUCAAAUUUUUUUUUUCAUCAAACCCAUACGUGUGGGGUAUCUAUGGAUAGGUCUUCAAAAAUGAUAUUGAGGUUUCUAAUAUCAUUUUUUUCUAAACUGAAUAGUUUGCGCGAGAGACACUUCCAAAGUGGUAAAAUGUGUCCCCCCCCCCCUGUAACUUCUAAAAUAAGAGAAUGAUAAAACUAAAAAAAAUAUAUGAUGUACAUUACUAUGCAAACUUCCACCGAAAAUUGGUUUGAACGAGAUCUAGUAAGUAGUUUUUUUUUAAUACGUAACCGCAAUUUUAUUAUUAGAUGUAUUCUUCAAACCCAUACGUGUGGGGUAUCUAUGGAUAGGUCUUCAAAAAUGAUAUUGAGGUUUCUAAUAUAUUUUUUUUCUAAACUGUAUAGUUUGCGCGAGAGACAGUUCCAAAGUGAUGAAAUGUGUGCCCCCCCCCCUGUAACUUCUAAAAUAAGGGAAUGAUAAAACUAAAAAAAAUAUAUGAUAUACAUUACCAUGCAAACUUCCACCGAAAAUUGGUUUGAACGAUAUCUAGUAAGUAGUUUUUUUUUAAUACGUCAUAAAUCGUAAA
Cydia splendana is the source of this 814-nucleotide long non-coding RNA. RefSeq lists it as uncharacterized. Lineage: Eukaryota; Metazoa; Arthropoda; Insecta; Lepidoptera; Tortricidae. The transcript is spliced from 2 exons. The record is from RefSeq and is a predicted model, not a curated record.